GCUUCAGUUUUCAUUUGUUGUAAUCGUGGGCCGAAUGUCGUUGUGUGGCCGUGAAGAUAGAGUUCUUCCUUAACCCUAAUACCGAAGAGACGAUGAAUUGACAUCUUCUGAUAUCUAUCUCCGGCUGGCUAGCAGCCAUUGUUUUCCGGAAGUUCGAGCAAUGGGUUCCUCUGUGAUUACUUCAUUGUCGCUGAGCUUCAAACAAGUUCCUCCAACAGCUGUUCCUACUUUUCUCGACUAUGUUCUAAGCUCCACAGGCGUGUCUCCCUCCACCCUUUUCGAAUCCCUCAUCAAAGAGUUGUCUUUUCGUGCGGAGGUAAUGAUCUUUCUUCAAUGUAGUUUCCUGUCCAUGAUUGGUUUUAUUGAAAAGACUUCCAUGUAUUUUUUUGUAAUAAAACACCAUUAAUGGCGACAAGAAAUUCCCUUCUGAUGAUUGCAACCACAUUGCUUCGUUGGUGGCUGGUCUUUGUCAUCUACUAAAGAGUUUUGUUGUUUGUGUGGAGAGUGUUUGUUCCACUGAUGAAGAUGGUUCGUGCUUAUGACUUGGAUAUGCUUAAUAAGGUGAAUCUUCCUCCUCCUGCUGUCUAUUGAUUAAAGCCCACAAAGUCACAUAUCCUUGGGCUUAUUUGAUCAUCUUUCUCCUCCUGCUGUCUAUUUAAUCGUUCUUUGAUGUUGUGAUGAAGACAAGUGCAUUGGUUGUAUUGGAAGUGAGUUUGGUACCUUUUUUUACUGAGAUCAGUUGGGGUAUCGAUAAGAAUGCUUCAACACAAAGAAUCAGAUUUCAUUAAAUGAGUAGAGCUGUUGCUUCGUGACUCUUUGAGUACAAAUAAUAUGUAUGAAAACUACAUUGCAUCUUUUUCUGAGUCAUUUCCGAUUCCACUGUCGUGCCAUCUCCUGAAUCUGUUACUGAGCGCUGCUUUUCAAAGUCACCAAGCAGCUCGAAAGGUUGAUAAUUUCGCAGCUGGUAUGCUUUGCGAUUUGUGUAAUACCACUGAGAGGCUUUUGUCACAAAGUGUCGUGCAUCGUUCAUGUGCUGUUAGUUUCCUUCUCCCUGCUAUUUUCAAGGCAUUCUCUUCUCAGUCUUCUCUGAAGAUCUCACUUCAAGGGAAUGUGUACGUACUUUCAAGGAAUGGCUUCAAAAAAAGAAUAUGGGAAUGCUCCAAGAAGCUGUCCUCGGUUGGAUCAAUAGAGGCCUUUCUUCUGGCUCUUGGAUGGACGGAACAGAAAGUUAUGUCUCAGAAAAAGACCCUGUCGAAUUUGACUUUAGGUCCGAACACGAGUUUUGGGAAGAAAUCAAGAAAGACUUGAUAUGGCAAAAGUACCUGUUAUUCUUACAGAUUCUCUCACUUUCUACAAUAUGAUCAUCCAUGAGUGUAAAGAACCUAUCCUUUCAGGUUUUUGAUGAGAGCUUAGUAAGGAAGCAGUCAUUGCACAUACUGAAAUCAGUUUUAUCCAUAAGUGAAGUGAGUAAGACGAUUUUUGAGAAGAAUUGUAUGGCUCUGUUGAAUCUGCUUUGUUAGGAUAUUGUUUUGUCUCCCACUGAUUCUAUUGUUAGAUUCUUUUUCUGAAUAUAAAUAAUAUACAAAAACUAGGGCUGAUGAAA
Brassica napus (rape) is the source of this 1603-nucleotide RNA transcript. RefSeq lists it as uncharacterized. NCBI's taxonomy places the organism in Eukaryota, Viridiplantae, Streptophyta, Magnoliopsida, Brassicales, Brassicaceae. The record is from RefSeq and is a predicted model, not a curated record. The transcript has 3 exons.